GGGCAGGUGGCCGAGCAGCGAAGGCACACGACUGUAAAUCGUGCGGUUCAUCCCCGCGGAGGUGCAAGUCCUCCUCUGCCCACCA
This 85-nucleotide transfer RNA is filed under the name Deinococcus malanensis. RNAcentral describes it as "tRNA-Tyr". It matches the Rfam family "tRNA". From Rfam's summary of the family: Transfer RNA (tRNA) molecules are approximately 80 nucleotides in length. Their secondary structure includes four short double-helical elements and three loops (D, anti-codon, and T loops). Lineage: Bacteria; Thermotogati; Deinococcota; Deinococci; Deinococcales; Deinococcaceae. RNAcentral also lists the same sequence under 1 other name. The record is from RNAcentral.